AUGAUUCGAUGUCCUCCCAGUUAUAAUAUUGCUUAACUAAAUGACUCUUGUUCCCUUGGCUAGCAAUUGAUUUGAUGCUUUGCUGCAUAUAUAUUUUUUCCAACGCAGACCUACCUCUGUCGCCAGUAGUUUCAGUAGGUGUUCCUUCAUUAAAUUGUACUCCUGCAGCAGCCUGACUGAUGAUUGCUCUUAACAUAAUGGAAUUCGACAACCAGAAAGUUAGCCUGUUUGUGAGAAAAAUAAAAUUAGAGAAAUCCUCUAAAGUUUCCAAUUUUAUCCUUAAACAUUAUUGUUCCAACAUAUUGAUAACCUGUUUUUUUUCUGUCUGCUAGUAGUUUCAGUAGGUGCCCCUUCAUUAAACGGCACUCCUGCAGCUGCCUGACUGAUGAUUGCUCUUAACAUAAUGGAAUUCGACAACCAGAAAGUUAACCU
RNAcentral lists this long non-coding RNA (432 nucleotides) under Nicotiana benthamiana. Its description in RNAcentral is "long non-coding RNA (NBEN_LNC009973)". The record is from RNAcentral. Lineage: Eukaryota; Viridiplantae; Streptophyta; Magnoliopsida; Solanales; Solanaceae.